This 253-nucleotide ribosomal RNA is filed under the name uncultured bacterium. Its description in RNAcentral is "partial 16S ribosomal RNA". It matches the Rfam family "Bacterial small subunit ribosomal RNA", at positions 524 to 776 of the family's 1533-position model. The record is from RNAcentral.
UACGGGGGGGGCAAGCGUUGUUCGGAAUUACUGGGCGUAAAGGGCGCGUAGGUGGCCCACUAAGUCAGACGUGAAAUCCCCAGGCUCAACUUGGGAACUGCGUCUGAUACUGGAUGGCUUGAAUUCGAGAGAGGGAUGCAGAAUUCCAGGUGUAGCGGUGAAAUGCGUAGAUAUCGGGAGGAACACCUGUGGCGAAGGCGGCGACCUGGUCCGAUACUGACGCUGAGGCGCGAAAGCGUGGGGAGCAAACAGG